This is a long non-coding RNA of Brassica napus (rape), 1566 nucleotides long. RefSeq lists it as uncharacterized. The record is from RefSeq and is a predicted model, not a curated record. Lineage: Eukaryota; Viridiplantae; Streptophyta; Magnoliopsida; Brassicales; Brassicaceae. The transcript has 4 exons.
AAAGAUAUUCAGACCACAAAUAGAUAAGAUAAAAAAAAAAAACCAGUCUAGCAAGAUUGAGCUAGAAAAUAUUGUGUCUCUCUCCCUCUUUCUAUUACAACUCUGUGAAGUUCUUGUCUCAGCUAAUCGAUCUGUUAAAUAUAUGCCCAGAUCAGCUCAUGUACAUGUUUAAUCAGUUGUUUUAAAGUUAGAUUAUAUAUAUUUUGUCGCAUGCAAUCUUAUUUUGAGUUUGAAUCUGAUAAUUUUAUUUUGACGGGAAAGUCAGAUAUGACAAACCUCUGUUUCUUCCGAUGACAGAUCUUAGUGAAGCUGAUCUCAAUAGAGAUUAUAUACAUGUCUGAAGUAUAUUUGAGCGUCAGAGAGAGAGAGAGAAACUAAACUAAUGGAAGAGACAAUGAAGAAUAAGAAGAAGAACGAUGGUUCCAAAAAGAAGGAGCGUCAUAUUGUCACUUGGUCUCAAGAGUUUGGAAGAUGCCUAGGUAUGAUGAUCGCUACGGGAACACUCGUCUUUACGUUGGACACGUAUCAUCCAGAACUCGUACCAGAGACCUUGAACGCCUUUUCAACAGAUAUGGAAGGUAACUGAGUUUCUUCUCGUUCUACCAAAAUGAUUAUGUUGAUAUCUGUAGUGUCUUUUUCUUUGAACGCAUAAACUGAUUAUGUUGAUAUCUGUAGUGUCUUUUUCUUUGUACACCUCUCUUCUCUUCUUCUAAUCCCCAUUUCUUUUUUUUCCAGAGCACAACUAAUCUCUCUUGGUUUCUCACUUACUUACUCUGAAUUUUUGAAUUAGCUUAGAUCCCUAAAGUCGAUAUCUUUGGAUCAGUUUCCAAAUGGAUAAUCAUUCUUUGCCGCUGUUAAAUCUAGCAACACCGGACUUGCGUUUUCAUCUUUGGCAGCUGGAGGAGGAGGCAAACCUGAUGCUGCGUUGGUCAUGGAUUGGUCUGUUGAAGAGCAUUAUGUAUUAGAGAACGGCCUUGCAAAGUAGGUAUCUUCUUUCUUAUGUUCUUCUUCAACGUUGAGCAAGGCAGCAGCACUAUCAGGAACAACUCCGAUUGCAAUCCAGUCAAGUAACAUAAAGUUAGACGGAGUGAUAUCAGUGCCAUAGAUGAAAUUGAUCUUGUAUUGAUGAUUGGUUGGUCUGUAGGUCACACCGGGGUUAUUGAUGGAGAAAUUUUCAAUGCUUCUCCAUGAUCCAACAGGUAUGGAGCACCUUAACUUCAACACGCCAUUCGGACUUGUAUGGUAGGAUGGCAGCCAAAGGCGUGAGUUCCAUGCUUAAAGGUAACUGCUGAAUUAGAUUAAGUUUGUAAACUCAGAUUUUAGGAAGCGUGUUAAGAGUAGAUGGUAGGAACAAUAUUUAUAAAAGAGGGAUGGCGAUGGAAAUGAUUAGGGAGAAGGAUAAAAUAUUGUUUUUUAGUUAAAAAAAUUGUUGCAAAAUAUGAAGGCAUAUUUUACGGGAUUAAAGAGUUAGAUAUCAAAAUUUUCGAAAUUCAGUUUAGAUAUAUUGUUGUUCGCAUCAAGUUUUAAUUUUAGUAUUUUUUAAUUAAACAAUAACUUUAUUCUAAA